CCUCUCCUAAACUCCAUUAUUGGUUUUGUCUCUCUAGAGGACCCUAAUACACUGCCCAGCAGAAGCCAGGAAGGAAGCCCUGCCAGCUCAGAAGGUGGGCCAGGAGAGAAGGGUGUGGCCGGAAGGGUAGCCGGUGGGGGUGCUGCAUCCUCUUGGCCCCACGGGGAGCACCCUGUCACCCCUAACAGAUGAAGAGAAGGUGAGGGGGGAUUGAGUUACCUGCCCACUGGUGUGUCAAACUCCAUGAUGGGGGUGGGAACAUGCAGACCUGGCCCCUCCAAGGCCCACUGCUCCCCGGGCUGUGCGCCCCACAGUCUGUGCCAGGGGCUGCAGAAAGAGCCAUGGGAAGCCUGGCCCUGGUAGGGCACCAAGAUGGGGAGGGCUGGAUCCACCCUCCAGAGAACAAGAAUCCUGGGCAGUAGCCGGGACAUGGUGGGGGAGGCUGAAGGGUUGUCCCUGAGCAUCCCCAACAUGGAGCUCGGAAGUCUGGGCCAUGGGCAGGAAAGCACGAAGGUCAGGGCCAGCCUGGGGAACCAAGAGCUGUGCCACGAUCCCUUCCACCUGGGGCAGCUGCCCACAUGCCCGCCACUGGGUUCCAUCACCUGAGACUCCUGGCAGGUGCCUCUCUGAGUCUUUGUCCUGUGCUGGAAACUGGGAUGUGCAGCACACAUCUUCACACCCACAGCACGGACAGCGGGAAUAACACUUCCUUUGGGGAUCCAGGGUUUCUGGUGUCUCCAGAUUUUUCAGGCGCCACCAUGUUCCUCUCAUCCAGACGUCAGCACCCAAGGUGGAAGCAGGUCAUGGCAUGCCCGGCCCAGCUGCAGUCCGAGUGCAGAUCCCAUGGCGAGCGUGGGAUCCAGCCCAAAGCACAAGCCACGCACAGCCCGCCAGGUUGAGUGGGCAGGUACCUCCAACAGCCAGCCCAGGUUGAGUGGGCAGGUACCUCCAACAGCCUGGAGCCGUGAGGCCUUGCGCAGGGGCGUUGCCGGCCGUGGAGGUCUCUGGCUGGCAAAGUGGCACCGAAAGAGUCCUGUGUCAUAACCAGACUCACUUGUAGCUUCUGUUGCUCUCCCUAGCUAUUUGCAAAGCAUCCAGGAUAGGUUCAUCUAAAGACAUUCUGACUCAUCUUGGACACGAUCCACUUACUCUGUGGACCCUGUUCACAGAACCUGGAGUCCCUGCUCACCUUCCCCAACCCCUUAUUGCUGGGUCAUGUUCACAAGUUUCUGUCUCUUUUUGUUCCCAGUCCCGGUACCAGCUCAGGUCCAAUCAGCUUCUGAACCUCUACUGUGCAGCGCCUGAGACAGGGUGGGAGAGACACCGACAGUAAAGCUCAGCCAGGUGCAGACUGCAGCCUGGAAGCAAAGGCUGAGACAGGGUGGGAGAGACACCGACAGUAAAGCUCAGCCAGGUGCAGACUGCAGCCUGGAAGCAAAGGCUGAGACAGGGUGGGAGAGACACCGACAGUAAAGCUCAGCCAGGUGCAGACUGCAGCCUGGAAGCAAAGGCUGAGACAGGGUGGGAGAGACACGGACAGUAAAGCUCAGCCAGGUGCAGACUGCAGAAUGGAAGCAAAGGCUGAGACAGAGUGGGAGAGACACCGACAGUAAAGCUCAGCCAGGUGCAGACUGCAGCGUGGAAGCAAAGGCUGAGACAGGGUGGGAGAGACACGGACAGUACGCUCAGCCAGGUGCAGACUGCAGCCUGGAAGCAAAGGCUGAGACAGGGUGGGAGAGACACCGACAGUAAAGCUCAGCCAGGUGCAGACUGCAGCCUGGAAGCAAAGGCUGAGACAGGGUGGGAGAGACACUGACAGUAAAGCUCAGCCAGGUGCAGACUGCAGAAUGGAAGCAAAGGCUGAGACAGGGUGGGAGAGACAGGGACAAUAAAGCUCAGCCAGGUGCAGACUGCAGAAUGGAAGCAAAGGCUGAGACAGGGUGGGAGAGACACGGACAGUAAAGCUCAGCCAGGUGCAGACUGCAGCCUGGAAGCAAAGGCUGAGACAGGGUGGGAGAGACAGGGACAAUAAAGCUCAGCCAGGUGCAGACUGCAGAAUGGAAGCAAAGGCUGAGACAGGGUGGGAGAGACACGGACAGUAAAGCUCAGCCAGGUGCAGACUGCAGAAUGGAAGCAAAGGCUGAGACAGGGUGGGAGAGAGACGGACAGUAAAGCUCAGCCAGGUGCAGACUGCAGCCUGGAAGCAAGGGCAGUGCCAUCCUCUUUCGGGGCAUUUCUGGUCACUUCAGUCUGCUGGGGGGAUUCCGUGUCUCACCAGGAGACUCAGGCAUGGACCUGGGUUGCCACUUUCUUCCUGUUACAUGGAUCUCUCUACCAUGCCCCAGACCCAACACCUCAGCCUUCUCAAAGCUGCACUGCAGAAGUUCUAGCCAGAGCAGCCUGGUAAGAGAAAGACGUAAAGAGCAUCCAAAUACUUCCUUCCAAAUGAGGAAGCCAAAUGGUCCUUGUUUGCAUUCAACGUGAUCUUAUAUAUAGAAAACCCUAAAAGCUUUAUCAAAACAUUCUUAGAACAAACAAAUUCAGUAAAGUUGCAGGAUACAAAAUUAACAUACAAAACCCAGUAACAUUUCUACAUACCAAACUACCAAAAAAAACCAGGAAAGCAAUUCCAUUUACAAUAGCUACCAAAACCAAAAAACAAACCUAGGAAUAAAUUUAACCAAUGAGGCUGGGCGCAGUGGCUCAUACCUGUAAUACUAACACUUUGGGAGGCCGAGAUGGUGGAUCACGAGGUCAGGAGAUUGAGACCAUCCUGGCUAAUACAGUGAAACCCCAUCUCUACUAAAAAUACAAAAAAUUAGCCGGGCCUGGUGGCACACACCUGCAGUUCCAGCUAC
This 2858-nucleotide long non-coding RNA is filed under the name Homo sapiens (human). RNAcentral describes it as "HSALNT0145641". The record is from RNAcentral. Lineage: Eukaryota; Metazoa; Chordata; Mammalia; Primates; Hominidae.